Long non-coding RNA from Peromyscus leucopus (white-footed mouse), 668 nucleotides. RefSeq lists it as uncharacterized. The record is from RefSeq and is a predicted model, not a curated record. The transcript is spliced from 4 exons. Lineage: Eukaryota; Metazoa; Chordata; Mammalia; Rodentia; Cricetidae.
GGACGUCUCCCUUGCUAGUGAAAGAGUUGGCUGUUUUUGGUGCAGUGAUGAAUUGGGAUGGCAAUGCUAUUUAAGGAGUGUAUGUGUUAACUUUCUUGCUGUCCUGAUAAAUACCCAACCCAAGCAGUUUAUGGAAGGAACUGUUUGUUUAUUUUGGCUCCUAGUCCAAGAUAAAGAAAGGUCCCUCAUGGCAGAGGGCGUGUGGAGGCAGGAACCCAGGCGGUUGGUUACAUUGUAUCCUUACUCAGGAUGCAGAGAGUGACAAAAAAAUAGUAUUGUUGACCUCGUCGGAUUCCUUUGAGGAUCAGAUGUCUGACCACUACGUAAAAUGCUUACUCCUGUGGCUGGGAGCUAAUGACGGUUGAAUUAGGUACCGCUGCUGUUACUGUUGGUAUCUGCCCAAAUGAAGAAAUGGAGGCAUGGGAUUGUUAAACCAGGAUGCACACACACAGGCAGCUGGAUUCGAGCACAGAAUAUUGCUAUACAUGACUUAAGGUGAUUGGCCAAUUUACAGAAGUGUGUGUUGUGGUACCAGCAAAUUUCACAUCUCCACUGAUGAACCGGGGCAUUUAGGGAUUAAGGUCCAGCUUGUGUGCAGCCAUCAAGAGGUGAUCCCCUGCUCCCAAGGAUGCUAAGCACAUGGCUCAUGGGCUCUAUCUGGGAGAUGA